GACGAACGCUGGCGGCGUGCUUAACACAUGCAAGUCGAACGGAAAGGCCCUGCUUUUGUGGGGUGCUCGAGUGGCGAACGGGUGAGUAACACGUGAGUAACCUGCCCUUGACUUUGGGAUAACUUCAGGAAACUGGGGCUAAUACCGGAUAGGAGCUCCUGCUGCAUGGUGGGGGUUGGAAAGUUUCGGCGGUUGGGGAUGGACUCGCGGCUUAUCAGCUGGUUGGUGGGGUAGUGGCUUACCAAGGCUUUGACGGGUGGCCGGCCUUAGAGGGUGAACGGCCACAUUGGGACUGAGAUACGGCCCAGACUCCUACGGGAGGCAGCAGUGGGGAAUAUUGCACAAUGGGCGGAAGCCUGAUGCAGCAACGCCGCGUGCGGGAUGACGGCCUUCGGGUUGUAAACCGCUUUCGCCUGUGACGAAGCGUGAGUGACGGUAAUGGGUAAAGAAGCACCGGCUAACUACGUG
RNAcentral lists this ribosomal RNA (468 nucleotides) under uncultured bacterium. Its description in RNAcentral is "partial 16S ribosomal RNA". It matches the Rfam family "Bacterial small subunit ribosomal RNA", at positions 28 to 507 of the family's 1533-position model. The record is from RNAcentral.